This 495-nucleotide ribosomal RNA is filed under the name uncultured bacterium. Its description in RNAcentral is "partial 16S ribosomal RNA". It matches the Rfam family "Bacterial small subunit ribosomal RNA", at positions 28 to 507 of the family's 1533-position model. The record is from RNAcentral.
GACGAACGCUGGCGGCGUGCUUAAUACAUGCAAGUCGAACGCAGAAGGAGGAGCUCUCUCUUCUGUCUGAGUUGCGGACGGACGAGUAACUCGUACGUAAUCUACCUGCUAGUGGGGGGUAACCAUUAGAUAGGAUAGACUACUCCUCAUAAUAGCAGACGAUUCAUGACAUCUAGUAUAGAUGUACAAUUGCCUCUACACCUAAUGGACCUGCGUUGGAUUAGCUAGUUGGUGGGGUAACGGCUCACCAAGGCGACGAUAAGUAGCCGGCCUGAGAGGGUGAUCGGCCACACUGGGACUGAGACACGGCCCAGACUCCUACGGGAGGCAGCAGUGGGGAAUCUUCCGCAAUGGACGGAAGUCUGACCGAGCAACGCCGCGUGAGUGAAGACGGUCUUCGGGUCGUAAAGCUCUGUUAUUAGGGAAGAAAGGGUGUGAGGGUAAAAGGUACAAGGAUUGACGGUAUCUGACCAGAAAGCGACGGCUAACUACGUG